CUAAAAAGUGUUCACUUAAUAGUUUUUCUGAGCUUCUCUAGUCUUUUUCGCCUUUCUUAAUGAAACUGAUUCAAGCAUUCGUUCAGAGUUGACAACAACGGAUAAGCAUUUUCCCUAUGCCUAAAGCACCAAGACUGUAACAAUGAAAAUGGCUCCCUUUUUAGUGAGAUUAUAUGAGCAAAUGCCCGAACCUGCUCUUUUGACUUGUUCGUCUCGUCUUCCAGCUCAAACUAGCCAGGACUCCUAUUCCGGGUAGUGUUUUUUGAAGUCUUUUGAUCAUUUUUAUAAAAUGUUAGUAUUUUGUAACUGACGAGUCGAAAAAUUUGAACCGCCAGUUGAAUUAGUGACUCAUGUUCUUGGUUUAACGACUGUUUAAACAAGUAAUUAUCUUAAAUGGCUGCAGUUUAUUGACCAUUGCUGUCCCUUUUAACUUUGCUAUCUUCUACUAAGACUAUCCACCACCCUUUCUCACGUAAAAAGUUGUAGUGUUGAAGACUUUAAAUAAGUCAGUAGUAAAAUAUGUACGCCUGGAGGAAGGUGAAGGAAAUAAUGAUGAUAAAGAAGAAAAAAUUAUAGAGCUGUCAUCCAGAUCUUGAACAUUUUUCACGCCAAUACCCAGUCUGACAGCUUGACCCUAUUCUGACUUAUUCUUGAAGGGUCUAACAAAAGAACUUCUUAUGUUUGCCUAGUAAACAUGGAUUGAAAAUAGAUUAAAUCAAAUUUAACUAUUUAUUUUUUUCUCCCAAAAUAAGUUUUCAAUUUUUGAAUGUUAUCCGAUUUGCCAUAAAUUGGUUUCUAUAAGGUUUUUAUUCAUGUUUUGUAGAUUGAUAGGUCCCAGUUAGAAGCUGAUAUUCACACUGAAUUUAGAAUUCUCUUAGGGUGAGAACAGGGCCACAAUUUGCUGAAUUGAAUGCUUGAUUCUUUAUUGCAACUGAAAAUGUGGUUUAUAUAAGCAAAGCCUAACAAGCAUGUUCAACUUACGUGUAGAAAUAAAUGGCCUGGUACUUCCUAAGAAAUAGGUAACAGAGCAGUAAUGCAAAACAGAAUAAACGUGCAAACGGAAAUGUAAGACUGAAUGCUAAACAUAAUGCAAAUAAAUCUCUAGCGUUCUAGGCUUCAACAGGUCGUGGACUUGGCAUUCUUCUGUAGUCCUCUGCUUGACCUUCGUGAUUUAUCAUAGAUGCGUAGUGCAUUGAAAAUAAUGGAACUGGGAAACUCGUUGCAAGAAAUAAAACAUUACCUUGUGCUAGUGCAAUUUGGAAAGGCAUCCGAUUGGGGCUUUAUCCAAUUCACAUCCUGCAGUAUAGGUCAAUGGGGGAACUGAACUUUGUUACUUGAAAAAACUACGAACCCAAGAGUUAGCUUCCAUAGAUUUGUUUAUUUAGUUCAAUUUCUGCUAGUAAAGUUCAUUUUUUUCAUAUAAUGCAGUGUUUAGGUUCUGAAAGAAUAUUGUAGGUUACAUAGCGCAUUCCAAUUAAUUGGGGACUUCUUAUUUAAAUCACAUAUGAAAAUUUUGAAGGUUGUAUCUUGUAUAAUUGAAGAUGAUGCUUUACAAUUAUAUGCUAACAAUUG
Molecule: long non-coding RNA, 1572 nt
Filed under: Olea europaea subsp. europaea
Lineage: Eukaryota; Viridiplantae; Streptophyta; Magnoliopsida; Lamiales; Oleaceae
Source: RNAcentral